AGUGUUACAUACCAUUUUGUUAAUUCCUCAUCUUGCCUGAUCUUGAAAAUAAGCAGGUUUGGGCCUGGUUAGCACUUACAUAGGAGACUGCUUGGAAUACCAUGUGCCAAGACACUU
RNAcentral lists this ribosomal RNA (117 nucleotides) under Periophthalmus magnuspinnatus. The record is from RNAcentral. Lineage: Eukaryota; Metazoa; Chordata; Actinopteri; Gobiiformes; Gobiidae.